Pelobates cultripes (western spadefoot toad) is the source of this 282-nucleotide non-coding RNA. NCBI's taxonomy places the organism in Eukaryota, Metazoa, Chordata, Amphibia, Anura, Pelobatidae. The record is from the annotation of a GenBank genome assembly.
CCCAGAUGUUCUGUUGCUGUUCAAUCACAGAUUUCUCACUGUAGCUAAAUGAGAAGUCUUUGCAAGGCAGGUGUUCUGAACAAUUGUCUGCCUCUUAAAGUUAGCUCCACUGAGCUGAGCAAACCAGGAAGUAACAUGACUGGUUGUCUGAUUGACAGCCGUGGGGUUGUAACAAGGUUGAUUUAUAAAAUUGUCACUUUUUUAAAAUGAAAAAAGAGGACACAUUUUUCACACAUUAAGCAUUUCAGCAAACUAAAGUGCUUUAGGGGUCUGGAGUGCCCC